GGGGUUGUGGCUCAGCGGUGGAGCGCUCACCUGGGAUGUCUGAGGCCCUGGGUUUGAACCUCAGCACCA
This 69-nucleotide transfer RNA is filed under the name Ictidomys tridecemlineatus (thirteen-lined ground squirrel). Its description in RNAcentral is "Spermophilus tridecemlineatus (thirteen-lined ground squirrel) tRNA". It matches the Rfam family "tRNA". From Rfam's summary of the family: Transfer RNA (tRNA) molecules are approximately 80 nucleotides in length. Lineage: Eukaryota; Metazoa; Chordata; Mammalia; Rodentia; Sciuridae. The record is from Rfam by way of RNAcentral.